Molecule: ribosomal RNA, 497 nt
Filed under: uncultured bacterium
Lineage: Bacteria
Description: partial 16S ribosomal RNA
Rfam family: Bacterial small subunit ribosomal RNA
Source: RNAcentral
GAUGAACGCUGGCGGCGUGCCUAAUACAUGCAAGUCGAGCGAACGGACGAGAAGCUUGCUUCUCUGAUGUUAGCGGCGGGCGGGUGAGUAACACGUGGAUAACCUACCUAUAAGACUGGGAUAACUUCGGGAAACCGGAGCUAAUACCGGAUGAUAUUUUGAACCGCAUGGUUCAAAAGUGAAAGACGGUCUUGCUGUCACUUAUAGAUGGAUCCGCGCUGCAUUAGCUAGUUGGUAAGGUAACGGCUUACCAAGGCAACGAUGCAUAGCCGACCUGAGAGGGUGAUCGGCCACACUGGAACUGAGACACGGUCCAGACUCCUACGGGAGGCAGCAGUAGGGAAUCUUCCGCAUUGGGCGAAAGCCUGACGGAGCAACGCCGCGUGAGUGAUGAAGGUCUUCGGAUCGUAAAACUCUGUUAUUAGGGAAGAACAUAUGUGUAAGUAACUGUGCACAUCUUGACGGUACCUAAUCAGAAAGCCACGGCUAACUACGUG